RNAcentral lists this ribosomal RNA (253 nucleotides) under uncultured bacterium. RNAcentral describes it as "partial 16S ribosomal RNA". It matches the Rfam family "Bacterial small subunit ribosomal RNA", at positions 524 to 776 of the family's 1533-position model. The record is from RNAcentral.
UACGGAGGGUGCAAGCGUUAUCCGGAUUCACUGGGUUUAAAGGGUGCGUAGGCGGAUAAGUAAGUCCGUGGUGAAAUCCUGCAGCUUAACUGCAGAACUGCCAUGGAUACUAUUUAUCUUGAAUGUCGUGGAGGUUAGCAGAAUAUGUCAUGUAGCGGUGAAAUGCUUAGAUAUGACAUAGAAUACCCAUUGCGAAGGCAGCUAACUACGCGAUAAUUGACGCUGAUGCACGAAAGCGUGGGGAUCAAACAGG